RNAcentral lists this transfer RNA (77 nucleotides) under Hymenobacter setariae. RNAcentral's name for it is "Hymenobacter sp. Fur1 tRNA-Val". It matches the Rfam family "tRNA". Rfam says of the family: Transfer RNA (tRNA) molecules are approximately 80 nucleotides in length. Their secondary structure includes four short double-helical elements and three loops (D, anti-codon, and T loops). Further hydrogen bonds mediate the characteristic L-shaped molecular structure. tRNAs have two regions of fundamental functional importance: the anti-codon, which is responsible for specific mRNA codon recognition, and the 3' end, to which the tRNAs corresponding amino acid is attached (by aminoacyl-tRNA synthetases). tRNAs cope with the degeneracy of the genetic code in two manners: having more than one tRNA (with a specific anti-codon) for a particular amino acid; and 'wobble' base-pairing, i.e. permitting non-standard base-pairing at the 3rd anti-codon position. Lineage: Bacteria; Pseudomonadati; Bacteroidota; Cytophagia; Cytophagales; Hymenobacteraceae. The record is from RNAcentral.
GGGGAAUUAGCUCAGUUGGUUAGAGCGCUACCUUGACAUGGUAGAGGUCGCCGGUUCGAAUCCGGCAUUGCCCACUA